UUAAGUUCAGCGGGUAGUCCUACCUGAUUUGAGGUCAAAUUUGAUAUAAAGUUGUCCAAAGACCAUUGUAAGCGGACCUUUGAGCCUCGGACGACAGCGCAACAUCAUUAUCACACUAGACAUCCAGAAGCCAAAAAGAUUGAAUUCCGCUGAUGCAUUUCAGAGGAGCCGAACCUUCGCCAGCAACACUCCAAGUCCAA
RNAcentral lists this unclassified non-coding RNA (200 nucleotides) under Piloderma sp. IBEU5HN01ESMNB/7. RNAcentral's name for it is "sequence contains ITS2". Lineage: Eukaryota; Fungi; Basidiomycota; Agaricomycetes; Atheliales; Atheliaceae. The record is from RNAcentral.